GACCUGCGGAGGAUCAUUACCUGGCCUUGGGCCGCUCAGGGGAGCCAGUCGCUUGCGACGACGCUGCCUUGGGCGCUUAGCCCUUGACUAUCACCUUGACUACGUGCACCUUUUGUUGUUUCCUCGGCAGGUCAUCUGCCGCCAGGAACCCCCCUAAACCUUUUUGCAUCAGCAUCUAAACUUCUGAAAACAAACCAAAUCAUUUACAACUUUUAACAAUGGAUCUCUUGGUUCUGGCAUCGAUGAAGAACGCAGCGAAAUGCGAUAAGUAGUGUGAAUUGCAGAAUUCAGUGAGUCAUCGAAUCUUUGAACGCACAUUGCGCCCCAUGGUAUUCCGUGGGGCAUGCCUGUUCGAGCGUCAUUUACCCCCUCAAGCUCCGCUUGGUGUUGGGCGUCUGUCCCGCUUCGCGCGCGGACUCGCCCCAAAGGUAUUGGCAGCGGUCGUGCCAGCUUCUCGCGCAGCACAUUGCGCUUCUCGAGGCACCGGCGGGCCCGCGUCCAUCAAGCUCACCCCCCCAGUUUGACCUCGGAUCAGGUAGGGAUACCCGCUGAACUUAAGCAUAUCAAUAAGCGGAGGA
This 578-nucleotide ribosomal RNA is filed under the name uncultured Pleosporales. RNAcentral describes it as "eukaryotic LSU rRNA". The stretch from base 208 to 361 matches the Rfam family "5.8S ribosomal RNA". Lineage: Eukaryota; Fungi; Ascomycota; Dothideomycetes; Pleosporales. The record is from RNAcentral.